RNAcentral lists this ribosomal RNA (456 nucleotides) under uncultured bacterium. Its description in RNAcentral is "bacterial SSU rRNA". It matches the Rfam family "Bacterial small subunit ribosomal RNA", at positions 340 to 786 of the family's 1533-position model. The record is from RNAcentral.
UACGGGAGGCAGCAGUGGGGAAUAUUGCACAAUGGGCGCAAGCCUGAUGCAGCCAUGCCGCGUGUAUGAAGAAGGCCUUCGGGUUGUAAAGUACUUUCAGUCGUGAGGAAGGUGUUAAGGUUAAUAACCUUAGCAAUUGACGUUAGCGACAGAAGAAGCACCGGCUAACUCCGUGCCAGCAGCCGCGGUAAUACGGAGGGUGCGAGCGUUAAUCGGAAUUACUGGGCGUAAAGGGCACGCAGGCGGUUAAUUAAGUUGGAUGUGAAGUCCCCGGGCUUAACCUGGGAAUGGCAUUCAAGACUGGUUAGCUAGAGUCUUGUAGAGGGGGUAGAAUUCCAUGUGUAGCGGUGAAAUGCGUAGAGAUGUGGAGGAAUACCGGGUGGCGAAGGCGGCCCCUGGGACAAAGGACUGACGCUCAUGUGCGAAAGCGUGGGGAGCGAAACAGGGAUAGAUACC